Molecule: ribosomal RNA, 253 nt
Filed under: uncultured bacterium
Lineage: Bacteria
Description: partial 16S ribosomal RNA
Rfam family: Bacterial small subunit ribosomal RNA
Source: RNAcentral
UACGUAGGGGGCAAGCGUUGUCCGGAUUUAUUGGGCGUAAAGCGCGUGUAGGCGGCUUGGCAAGUCCGCUGUGAAAACUCGAGGCUCAACCUCGAGAUGUCGAUGGAAACUGCUUGGCUAGAGUCCGGAAGAGGAGUGUGGAAUUCCUGGUGUAGCGGUGAAAUGCGCAGAUAUCAGGAAGAACACCUAUGGCGAAGGCAGCACUCUGGGACGGUACUGACGCUGAGACGCGAAAGCGUGGGGAGCGAACAGG